Paramuricea clavata is the source of this 275-nucleotide non-coding RNA. The record is from the annotation of a GenBank genome assembly. Lineage: Eukaryota; Metazoa; Cnidaria; Anthozoa; Malacalcyonacea; Plexauridae.
GCUCUCCAUAUAUAGAAGAAACUUUCUUCUAUUUCAAGAAACAAUGGUUAUCACACAAUUUAUUAGCUUGUAAGCUAUAUAUAGUUUAGAGUUCUACUAUAUAGAAACAUUCACAGACAUAGCCCAUGAUUGUGAGAGUUAUAACUCUCCUGGAGACAAUAUAUCCUGCAUGUACAGUACAAUACAUGCAUUAAAGUAGUGAUACAAUAUUAUCAUAAACUGUUCUAUUUAAUGUGUUCAUUUAUAUUUAGCUUAGGAAGUUCUCCACGUCAAUU